GUGCUCGCUUUGGCAGCACAUAUACUAAAAUUGGAACGAUACAGAGAAGAUUAGCAUGGCUCCUGCGCAAGGAUGACACACAAAUUCGUGAAGCGUUCCAUAU
Molecule: small nuclear RNA, 103 nt
Filed under: Cervus elaphus hippelaphus
Lineage: Eukaryota; Metazoa; Chordata; Mammalia; Artiodactyla; Cervidae
Source: RNAcentral